RNAcentral lists this non-coding RNA (28 nucleotides) under Cricetulus griseus (Chinese hamster). The record is from RNAcentral. Lineage: Eukaryota; Metazoa; Chordata; Mammalia; Rodentia; Cricetidae.
AUGUUCUGUAAGGAUUUUACAAAAAAAC